This 1239-nucleotide ribosomal RNA is filed under the name Escherichia coli. RNAcentral's name for it is "partial 16S ribosomal RNA". It matches the Rfam family "Bacterial small subunit ribosomal RNA", at positions 77 to 1335 of the family's 1533-position model. Lineage: Bacteria; Pseudomonadati; Pseudomonadota; Gammaproteobacteria; Enterobacterales; Enterobacteriaceae. The record is from RNAcentral.
GCUUUGCUGACGAGUGGCUUGAUCGGACGGGUGAGUAAUGGAGCCUGAUGGAGGGGGAUAACUACUGGAAACGGUAGCUAAUACCGCAUAACGUCGCAAGACCAAGGGGGACCUUCGGGCCUCUUGCCAUCGGAUGUGCCCAGAGGUACUGGGAUUUAGUAGGUGGGGUAACGGCUCACCUAGGCGACGAUCCCUAGCUGGUCUGAGAGGAUGACCAGCCACACUGGAACUGAGACACGGUCCAGACUCCUACGGGAGGCAGCAGUGGGGAAUAUUGCACAAUGGGCGCAAGCCUGAUGCAGCCAUGCCGUGUAUGAAGAAGGCCUUCGGGUUGUAAAGUACUUUCAGGGAGGAAGGGAGUAAAGUUAAUACCUUUGCUCAUUGACGUUACCCGCAGAAGAAGCACCGGCUAACUCCGUGCCAGCAGCCGCGGGGUACUAAUACGGAGGGUGCAAGCGUUAAUCGGAAUUACUGGGCGUAAAGCGCACGCAGGCGGUUUGUUAAGUCAGAUGUGAAAUCCCCGUCAACCUGGGAACUGCAUCUGAUACUGGCAUUGAGUCUCGUAGAGGGGGGAACAGUCUAGAAUUCCAGGUGUAGCGGUGAAAUGCGUAGAGAUCUGGAGGAAUACCGGUGGCGAAGGCGGCCCCCUGGACGAAGACUGACGCUCAGGUGCGAAAGCGUGGGGAGCAAGGAUUAGAUACCCUGGUAGUCCACGCCGUGAUGUCGACGAGGUUGUGCCCUUGAGGCGUGGCUUCCGGAGCUAACGCGUUAAGUCGACCGCCUGGGGAGUACGGCCGCAAGGUUAAAACUCAAAUGAAUUGACGGGGGCCCGCACAAGCGGUGGAGCAUGUGGUUUAUUAGUCAAAUUCGAUGCAACGCGAAGAACCCCUGGUCUUGACAUCCACGGAAGUUUUCAGAGAUGAGAAUGUGCCUUCGGGAACCGUGAGACAGGUGCUGCAUGGCUGUCGUCAGCUCGUGUUGUGAAAUGUUGGGUUAAGUCCCGCAACGAGCGCAACCCUUAUCCUUUGUUGCCAGCGGUCCGGCCGGGAACUCAAAGGAGACUUGAUUUGUCAAAACUGGAGGAAGGUGGGGAUGACGUCAAGUCAUCAUGGCCCUUACGACCAGGGCUACACACGUACAAUGGCGCAUACAAAGAGAAGCGACCUCGCGAGAGCAAGCGGACCUCAUAAAGUGCGUCGUCCGGAGUCUGCAACUCGUGAUCCAUGAAGUCGGAAUCGC